Molecule: ribosomal RNA, 664 nt
Filed under: Amanita oleosa
Lineage: Eukaryota; Fungi; Basidiomycota; Agaricomycetes; Agaricales; Amanitaceae
Description: eukaryotic LSU rRNA
Rfam family: 5.8S ribosomal RNA (bases 237-390)
Source: RNAcentral
CUUGGUCAUUUAGAGGAAGUAAAAGUCGUAACAAGGUUUCCGUAGGUGAACUUGCGGAAGGAUCAUUAUUGAAGUAUGAGGGUUGUCGCUGGCCUCUAGGGGGCAUUGUGCACACCUUUCUUGUUCUUCUAUUCCACCUGUGCAUUGGUGUAGGCAUGACCCAAGUGGACAUGUUUAUGAUUUUUUAAAUACUACAUGCAAAUUAUAUGAAUGUCAUUGGGAUAAAUAUAAUGUACAACUUUCAACAACGGAUCUCUUGGCUCUCGCAUCGAUGAAGAACACAGCGAAAUGCGAUAAGUAAUGUGAAUUGCAGAAUUCAGUGAAUCAUCGAAUCAUUGAACGCAUCUUGCGCUCCUUGGUCUUCCGAGGAGUAUGCCUGUUUGAGUGUCGUUAAAAUCAUCUCAAAAACAUAUUUCUGUUGUGGUUUUGGACUAUGGGAGGCUGCUGGCUGAAAUAGGCCAGCUCUCCUGAAAAGAAUUAGCUGGGGUACUGCAUCAAUGCUGGUUUCUCCCUUCUCUGGUGUGAUAAAUUGUCCAAACCCAUUGAGGGGUCAGGGUUGACUUUGUGGUCUCUGCUCUCUAACUGUUUGUUUAACACCCUUUUUUUUUGACCUCAAAUCAGGUAGGAAUACCCGCUGAACUUAAGCAUAUCAAUAAGCGGAGGA